CUCUCUAUAUAUAUAUAUAUAUAUAUAUAUAUAUACCCCAACUUCACUCUCCUUACCUUCAUCUUCUCCCUCCUACAACCAUUGUUGAACCUCCCUUCAUUUUCACCUCCAAUUUCACCGCCUAAUUAUCUCCUCUUCUGCGAUUACUCGGUGCGAUUUCCUCUUUACAAGCUUUUCGGAGAUCUUGCUGUCAUACGUUAGAAUAUCACUGAGGCAUAAACCUGUUAUUAAGGAUCGUUUGUUUACUAUUGUUCUUGUUGGAGCUUUUGCACAUGGCGCUUAUCUAGUGUAUACUUUUACCUUUCACAUUUUAAAGUUUUUGUGUUAUUUUCCUGCUAGUUUUAUAGUUUAAUUAAUGUGAGAUGAAUUGUUUAGAAUUUUGUAUUGAAUGAUUGAUUAUGUCUUUUGAUUGUUUUUAUGAAAAUGCAGUUGCUGUUGUUUUCCUAGAUGGUAUGUUGAUUUGUAGUUGUUGAUAUGUUGUAUGUUGUAGGACUAAAAAUUGUGAAUAUUUCGAAUGGUUCGAAGUUUGAUUAAAUGUCCUAUGAAUAGGCAGUUUGUGUUUCUUAACAAUGAUGAGAUUAAUGCAGGAAAUUGAAGGAGGGGAUGUAUAUGUUGGAUUAUGUAUGAGUUUAUUUGAGUAUGGAUUGUUCAAUGAGGGGUAGAGAUUAGAGAGCUAAGUAGGGUUGCUAUGUGAUGAUAGAGUGUAGAUGAAGCUGCCUUCAAGUUUAUUGAUUGUGGGUUUGCUGAGAGGUUUAGUUUUCUUGGGUUAGCAUGUAUAGAUGAAAAGAUACAUGAAACAUGACGAUUCAUUUUGGACCCAACAAGUGUAAGAUUUUCUGAAAAAUGGAUUAUAUGUGACAUUCGGACAUAUAUUAAUCUAGUAAAUAUACCCUUGAUGCCAGACGCACACUAGUAGUUGAGUUGUGUAACAUAAAUCAUCAGUCAUUUUCUCAGCAUCUCCUUAGGAGAAAACUCUGUAUGGCAUAUGUUAUAUAGGGAAUGGAUGAUGAAAGAUUGUUGUGAACUUGUGAUGUGGUACUCUGUAUCAUAUAUCUCAAAUCUAGAUAGGCAAUAUCUGAUUAAUUUUUCUAAGUACAAAGUAAUACUUGGACUCCAACAUUCUUCUGAAUUAAGGUUUUCUUGAUCAGAAUUUUCUGAAUAAGCAGUGUUUUCUCAGUACAAAUUAAUAGACUCCCAAAAUUAGGUUUUUUUUAUCAGAAUUUUCCAAUUAAGAUGUUUAGUCUCAGGUAACUCUAUUUCUUGCUAGGUGGAUGUUGUUAACAUAGUUUUCAAAGGUUUAUCUUAGGGGGUGGGGGGAGGGGAAGGAGCAAUGGUGUAAAAGCUGGCUUUGUUUACAAUAGUUGAUAUCUUGAUAUUUUUACUCAAAUUUGUAUUUAGUAGCUAGUUUUGAGGAAGCAUUAGUUGCUAGUAUGUGAGAAUAUGCUAAAACUCCAAUGGAAGCUCUUGAUUACAUGUAUGGAUGUAUAUUAAUGUUUUCUUUUAUGUGAGUAUAUUCUCAGAUUUGUUUUCGUUUAUGUUUAUCAUUUCUUUCCACAUCAGAUCAGGUUACUGAAGUUGGGACGAAGGUGCAAAAAUUCAAAGUCGGGUAAAAAGUUGGGGUGGGAUGUAUGGUUAGAUCAUGUCGUUCAUGUGAUAACUGUGGCAAGAAUCUUGAGAAUUACUGUCCCAACAUGUUUCUAACUUAUGGAUCUACUUACUAUGACGGCACAAAUACGUAUGGAGGUUACUCCGACAUUAUGGUGGUAGACGAGCAUUUUGAUAUACAUAUUCUUCAGAAAAUGGCACUUGAUGCUACUGCCCCGCUUUUAUGUGCAGGCAUCACUGUCUAUAGCCCUUUGAGAUACUAUGGUCUCGACAAACCUGGACUACAUGUUGGUGUUGUUGGCCUUGGCGGUCUAGGACACCUGGCUGUGAAAUUUGCUAAGGCUCUCGGGACUAAGGUCACUGUUAUUAGUACCUCAGCUAAUAAGAAGGAUGAAGCUGUCAAACGUCUUGGUGCUAAUUUCUUUUUGGUCAGUCGCGAUCUUGAACAAAUGUAGGUAGCGUACAAACCCCUUCUUGUUCUAGCUCUAGCUGAAUUUUGUUAUUCUAAAGUAGUGAAUUGAACAAGACGUUUUUUGAUGUAAUUUUGUU
RNA transcript from Chenopodium quinoa (quinoa), 2154 nucleotides. It is a transcript of the gene named probable mannitol dehydrogenase, with no coding region annotated. The transcript has 2 exons. The record is from RefSeq and is a predicted model, not a curated record. NCBI's taxonomy places the organism in Eukaryota, Viridiplantae, Streptophyta, Magnoliopsida, Caryophyllales, Amaranthaceae.